CGGUGUUUAACUGGCGUGAUGUGGGACGUCCUACCGGUGGGCUUAGCCUCGCGAGGGGCGGCCCAACUAAUAUCCCGUCGCGGUGCUCUUUACUGAGUGUCGAGUCGGGCCGGUACGUUUACUUUGAACAAAUUAGAGUGCUUAAAGCAGGCUAUCCUCGCCUGAAUACUGCGUGCAUGGAAUAAUGGAAUAGGACCUCGGUUCUAUUUUGUUGGUUUUCGGAACCCCGAGGUAAUGAUUAAUAGGGACAGAUGGGGGCAUUCGUAUUGCGACGUUAGAGGUGAAAUUCUUGGAUCGUCGCAAGACGGACAGAAGCGAAAGCAUUUGCCAAAAAUGUUUUCAUUAAUCAAGAACGAAAGUUAGAGGUUCGAAGGCGAUCAGAUACCGCCCUAGUUCUAACCAUAAACGAUGCCAGCUAGCGAUCCGCCGAAGUUCCUCCGAUGACUCGGCGGGCAGCUUCCGGGAAACCAAAGCUUUUGGGUUCCGGGGGAAGUAUGGUUGCAAAGCUGAAACUUAAAGGAAUUGACGGAAGGGCACCACCAGGAGUGGAGCCUGCGGCUUAAUUUGACUCAACACGGGAAACCUCACCAGGCCCAGACACCGGAAGGAUUGACAGAUUGAUAGAUCUUUCUUGAUUCGGUGGGUGGUGGGGCAUGGCCGUUUUUAGUUGGUGGAGAGAUUUGUCUGGUUAAUUCUGAUAACGAACGAGACUCUAGCCUGCUAAAUAGGCGUACCUUAUGGUAUCGCGAAGGCCCCCGGCUUCGGCCGGCGGGUUUUUACUACCAACGUACAAACAAAUCUAUUAGAGGGACAGGCGG
RNAcentral lists this ribosomal RNA (818 nucleotides) under uncultured eukaryote. Its description in RNAcentral is "SSU rRNA". It matches the Rfam family "Eukaryotic small subunit ribosomal RNA", at positions 629 to 1426 of the family's 1831-position model. The record is from RNAcentral.